This 404-nucleotide long non-coding RNA is filed under the name Eptatretus burgeri (inshore hagfish). Its description in RNAcentral is "lncRNA (ENSEBUG00000017258.1)". The record is from RNAcentral. Lineage: Eukaryota; Metazoa; Chordata; Myxini; Myxiniformes; Myxinidae.
GACGACGACGUCACGGGCCAUGCCGGUUACAUGGCAGCGAAUGUCAUGGCAAGCGAAGACAGCAAGGAUUUUCAAAGGCGAGGCCGAUUCCCUGGCUGCCUGAAGUUUGGCAGGAAUUUACCAACAAUGCUCAAGCACUUUCUGUCAUCAUCUUCUCUCAAAGGGCCAUCGACGGAGUUAACCUCAAAGCAAAAGGCUGGAUGGCUGGGCAUUUGGAUUGGUGCUCGUGGUCACAAAGUUUACAAGACAUUCAGAUGGAAUGAAGUGUUCAGAAGCACCCAAACCAGACACGGUGUCUCCCUCCAACUCUUUUGUUGUGCAGAGGCACAUCCCCACUUUCUCUCAGGGUGAUUCAUGCCUUGGACAUCCCUUGGAUGGACAUUAAAAUGAGUAUCCCAUCUGCC